Molecule: transfer RNA, 79 nt
Filed under: Candidatus Saccharibacteria bacterium RIFCSPHIGHO2_01_FULL_48_12
Lineage: Bacteria; Candidatus Saccharimonadota
Also listed under: 2 other names
Description: tRNA-Pro
Rfam family: tRNA
About the family: Transfer RNA (tRNA) molecules are approximately 80 nucleotides in length. Their secondary structure includes four short double-helical elements and three loops (D, anti-codon, and T loops). Further hydrogen bonds mediate the characteristic L-shaped molecular structure. tRNAs have two regions of fundamental functional importance: the anti-codon, which is responsible for specific mRNA codon recognition, and the 3' end, to which the tRNAs corresponding amino acid is attached (by aminoacyl-tRNA synthetases). tRNAs cope with the degeneracy of the genetic code in two manners: having more than one tRNA (with a specific anti-codon) for a particular amino acid; and 'wobble' base-pairing, i.e. permitting non-standard base-pairing at the 3rd anti-codon position.
Source: RNAcentral
CGGGGAUUGGCGCAGCCUGGAUUAGCGCGCGCGCUUUGGGAGCGCGAGGUCGCCAGUUCGAAUCUGGCAUCCCCGACCA